Molecule: non-coding RNA, 45 nt
Filed under: Schistosoma margrebowiei
Lineage: Eukaryota; Metazoa; Platyhelminthes; Trematoda; Strigeidida; Schistosomatidae
Source: RNAcentral
AUCCAUCUGGCGAGUCCCGAAUAAGACGAAACGUGUGUCCUGGAU